GAUGAACGCUGACAGAAUGCUUAACACAUGCAAGUCAACUUGAACUUCGGUUUGGGUGGCGGACGGGUGAGUAACGCGUAAAGAACUUGCCUCACAGAUAGGGACAACAUUUGGAAACGAAUGCUAAUACCUGAUAUUAUGAUUUUAGGGCAUCCUAGGAUUAUGAAAGCUAUAUGCGCUGUGAGAGAGCUUUGCGUCCCAUUAGCUAGUUGGAGAGGUAACGGCUCACCAAGGCGAUGAUGGGUAGCCGGCCUGGGAGGGUGAUCGGCCACAAGGGGACUGAGACACGGCCCUUACUCCUACGGGAGGCAGCAGUGGGGAAUAUUGGACAAUGGACCAAGAGUCUGAUCCAGCAAUUCUGUGUGCACGAUGAAGUUUUUCGGAAUGUAAAGUGCUUUCAGUUGGGAAGAAAAAAAUGACGGUACCAACAGAAGAAGUGACGGCUAAAUACGUG
RNAcentral lists this ribosomal RNA (454 nucleotides) under uncultured bacterium. RNAcentral describes it as "partial 16S ribosomal RNA". It matches the Rfam family "Bacterial small subunit ribosomal RNA", at positions 28 to 507 of the family's 1533-position model. The record is from RNAcentral.